CUGCCGUGCUGCUCUCCUGCAGCCAUUUUGUUCCAUUAAUGUAAAUUUUGCUGUCUGCUGGUUCUCAGCCAGCAGCACAUGAGUUCAGUCUCCAUAUGAGACAAACUCACAAUUUCUUCAUGUAACUACCAAGUAAAGCCUGCCUUUCAGGGAUCAUAUCGUGAACUGAAAUCCCCUCCAGAAGGGAAAGAAGCAAACAGAAGGGAGAGCAGGAAGAGAAGUGAAGACUGCUAAUUGAAAGACCAAAGACAGAAACGGCUACAUUGGUAUCAACA
Long non-coding RNA from Podarcis raffonei (Aeolian wall lizard), 275 nucleotides. RefSeq lists it as uncharacterized. The record is from RefSeq and is a predicted model, not a curated record. NCBI's taxonomy places the organism in Eukaryota, Metazoa, Chordata, Lepidosauria, Squamata, Lacertidae. The transcript is spliced from 2 exons.